Molecule: ribosomal RNA, 500 nt
Filed under: uncultured Glomeromycotina
Lineage: Eukaryota; Fungi; Glomeromycota
Description: partial small subunit ribosomal RNA
Rfam family: Eukaryotic small subunit ribosomal RNA
Source: RNAcentral
CCAAUAGCGUAUAUUAAAGUUGUUGCAGUUAAAAAGCUCGUAGUUGAAUUUCGGGGUUAGUAGGUUGGUCAUGCCUCUGGUAUGUACUGGUCUCACUGAUUCCUCCUUCCUGAUGAACCUUAAUGCCAUUAAUUUGGUGUUUUGGGGAAUUUGGACUGUUACUUUGAAAAAAUUCGAGUGUUUAAAGCAAGCUAACGCUUGAAUACAUUAGCAUGGAAUAAUGAAAUAGGACGUUCGAUCCUAUUUUGUUGGUUUCUAGGAUUGACGUAAUGAUUAAUAGGGAUAGUUGGGGGCAUUAGUAUUCAAUUGUCAGAGGUGAAAUUCUUGGAUUUAUUGAAGACUAACUACUGCGAAAGCAUUUGCCAAGGAUGUUUUCAUUAAUCAAGAACGAAAGUUAGGGGAUCGAAGACGAUCAGAUACCGUCGUAGUCUUAACCAUAAACUAUGCCGACUAGGGAUCGGAUGAUGUUAAUUUUUUAAUGACUCAUUCGGCGCCUUACG